Molecule: ribosomal RNA, 254 nt
Filed under: uncultured bacterium
Lineage: Bacteria
Description: partial 16S ribosomal RNA
Rfam family: Bacterial small subunit ribosomal RNA
Source: RNAcentral
UACAGAGGGGGCGAGCGUUGUCCGGAAUUAUUGGGCGUAAAGAGCUCGUAGGCGGUGUGUCGCGUCGGCCGUGAAAACCUGCAGCUUAACUGUGGGCUUGCGGUCGAUACGGGCAUCACUGGAGUUCGGCAGGGGAGACUGGAAUUCCUGGUGUAGCGGUGAAAUGCGCAGAUAUCAGGAGGAACACCGGUGGCGAAGGCGGGUCUCUGGGCCGAUACUGACGCUGAGGAGCGAAAGCGUGGGGAGCGAACAGG